Molecule: non-coding RNA, 1045 nt
Organism: Cucurbita pepo subsp. pepo (vegetable marrow)
Lineage: Eukaryota; Viridiplantae; Streptophyta; Magnoliopsida; Cucurbitales; Cucurbitaceae
Source: RefSeq, a predicted model, not a curated record
UUAAAAACAUGAAAAGAACAUAUAUCGACGUAGAUAGAAAAAGACGAUAGAAAAGACAAUAACAGUUUGAUAUGGCCCAAAUUGUCUAUAUUGUUGGAAGAGAAUCUAGGUGGAAAGGAUAGAUGGGGAAAGCAAAAUCCAAACUCUUUACUCCUAUUUAAUCUUAAUGUUUAUUUUGAUCCUCAAUACCCAAAAUGUUCCUCAUCUUUCCAUCUUAAUUUGGUGCCAUAUUUGACCACUUUCACUGUAUAUGGUCGUCAUCUCCAUAGUUUUUUGUGUCUAAAAUUGAAUUGAACCAUUAUAAAUCCACUGAGUUUAGUCCAAACGACCGUCUGUGUGUUGUUUAUUUAUGAACUCUGGUUUUGAUCCUAGAGAGAGAGAGAGAGAGAGAAGAAGAAGAAGAAGAAGAUGAAGGGAUGGAGAUUAUGGGAUUGUUUGAAACGCUCAUUCCUCUUACCCACUAAGCUGUUUCUUCUUAGAGUGAACUCACGCCAUCUCGUUCAGCCUAAAGGCAAUGGGAAGGGACUAGGGAGCCUAUACAAGGACAUAGAGUCAUGUGGAGAGUACAGAGAUAUCCAAGUGAUGUGGGAUAUGAUCCAUUCCUGUCCUCCUCGCUGUCCAUGAGUAGCAGCAGCUUCAGAUGAGACACCAAUCUGUUCUCUGCAACAAUGUUCAUGAAAACACAGAAUGUUCAUAAUAUAAUAAUAAUACGAGAAGGGAUGAGUUUUGGGAUGUGGAAGUUUAUCAAUCAAAAUCAAGCUAGUGUUUGAUUGAUGUGGUUCUUAUCCUUGCCCCGAUGUGUUCAUGAUCUGCAACAAAGUCUGGUUCUUGUUUGGGGUUUCCUAUCAGUUGAAGAUGAAGAUGAGAAGUGGUGUGGGAUUUAGUCUGUUUCUUGUUGAUUUCAUUUGCAGAUAUUACACUGGACAAGAAUGUAAUGCCAAAAGCUUAAUUUAGGGAGGGAGCUAUUAGCUAUUCAACUUAUUAUUAUAUCAUGCAUCAAUGUUUAAUGAUUGAUAUAUGAUUGCAUGCAUCUAUUGUAACUUCA